RNAcentral lists this transfer RNA (65 nucleotides) under Allopsontus sp. 1 JZ-2014. RNAcentral describes it as "tRNA-Ser". The record is from RNAcentral. Lineage: Eukaryota; Metazoa; Arthropoda; Insecta; Archaeognatha; Machilidae.
AAGGCUGAAGAUCUAAUAAAAGCUGCUAACUUCUUAUUAUAGCGGUUGAAUUCCGUUAAGCAUUC